AAAUUGAAGAGUUUGAUCAUGGCUCAGAUUGAACGCUGGCGGCAGGCCUAACACAUGCAAGUCGAACGGUAACAGGAAGCAGCUUGCUGCUUUGCUGACGAGUGGCGGACGGGUGAGUAAUGUCUGGGAAACUGCCUGAUGGAGGGGGAUAACUACUGGAAACGGUAGCUAAUACCGCAUAACGUCGCAAGACCAAAGAGGGGGACCUUCGGGCCUCUUGCCAUCGGAUGUGCCCAGAUGGGAUUAGCUAGUAGGUGGGGUAACGGCUCACCUAGGCGACGAUCCCUAGCUGGUCUGAGAGGAUGACCAGCCACACUGGAACUGAGACACGGUCCAGACUCCUACGGGAGGCAGCAGUGGGGAAUAUUGCA
RNAcentral lists this ribosomal RNA (371 nucleotides) under Escherichia coli. RNAcentral's name for it is "bacterial SSU rRNA". It matches the Rfam family "Bacterial small subunit ribosomal RNA", at positions 1 to 368 of the family's 1533-position model. Lineage: Bacteria; Pseudomonadati; Pseudomonadota; Gammaproteobacteria; Enterobacterales; Enterobacteriaceae. The record is from RNAcentral.